GCAAUGAGGCGCAGACGUGCUGGGGAGAAGGGGCAGGGGCGGCCAAAGCCAGAUGAUUAUUUUAGUAAUCUUAGUUUAUGGUGCGCUUACUAUGUACGAGGAGGUGUUCCGAGGGUUUUCUGGAUAUCUUCACAACUCCAUGAGGUGAGUAUAACUGACACUCCCAUUUACAGAUGAAGAAACAGAAGCAUAAAGGUGUGAUUUGCCCAAAGACACAGAGGAAUAAUUCAAACCCCUCAGCGCUCACUAGAGACCCUAUUGGAGGCAGGGCUGUUGAAAGGGGGUCUUAAGCAAAACGGGAGGGUGCAUGCUUCCUCUCCUUUCUCCAGGUCUUUUCCCAAAUAUACUAUUAUUAGCAGAGUUAAGUCAUUGUGUACCUACAGUGUGCCAGGCACUGUGCGAGUGUUUGACACUGAGUCUUCAUAACGACCCUGCGAAGCAGGUCCCCAUUAUAAAAUAUAGCCCCAUUUACAGCAGGUCGGCGGCAGUGCCUGAACUCGAACCAGAUCUGAGACAGGUUGAGCCUUCCUCAAGGCGACGAUGAAGUCUAGACGCACAACCCGCAGCUUCCAGGAGAAGAAGGUGCGGUUUCCCUGCACAAAAGCCUUGAAGCUGGGUUGAGGGGUCAGGAGAAGCUUUCAGUUGUCGACUCGGAGGCCUACAUUCCGGGCCCUCCAGGUCCUAGAACCCGGCCCUGCCCCUUCAAAACACCAACCCCAUCAACCGAACAAAUGCCUGUCUAGAGGAGUCUGCAUCCAGGGGUCCCCGCAGGAACCUCAGGAAUCUCAGAGCCGCGCCCCGCUACCCUAAGGCUCGGUCCCGCCCGGAUUUAGACUCCGCCCCAUCCAACACCACCUCCACCCGGCCAAUCCAGGCUCCUGCCCUGCGGUUCUCAGACUUUCCGCCCCGCUUGGACUCAGCACCGGCUACUCCUAGACAGGCCUGGGCCCUCCGGACCCACCUGCCCCUCCCAAGUCAAUGACCGCGUCUCCAGCCGCUUCCCUGCUCUGCGGCCUGAUGAGUCCCCCACCUGCAGGUAGGCGAAGGGCGCAGGCGCCAGCCUGAAAUAUACCUAGAGGACAGUUGGCUGUGGCAGUCUUGGAGACCAGGCAGGAAGUCCAAGGUGAAAGCGACAAGGAAAGCCUGCAGGGCACGAAGGUCUUCAAGGCCAAGUGCUCUAAUUCACUCCCCAUUCGGGUCCAGACCCACUCUCGCAGCAGGAUGCGCCUACCUUCUGAGACUUCCAAACCUAUGACUGCUAUCCCAACUCCAUCUCCCAUUUCUCUAUCAUGUGGGCCCUGCCCCCCAACACCCCCUGCCCCCAUCCCUGACCUCUGUUUCCCCUCCGAUCCUGUAUCCCCUCCCCUUGACUGUGCUCACAUUCACCAUUGCCGACAGGUGGUCCGUGGCCUCUAGCAGGAGCAGACAGAUGCCCUAAACCCCUGUGCCUUUUGGCCACUGGCUGCUGGUACUCACACAGGAAACUGGGAUCUCAUUGUUGAGCAGAGAGAACAGGGGCGUCAGCAGGAAGGCCACCACAAAGAUGGUGAUGAACUCAAGCUGCAGCACUGGGAGACAGGGAGCCUCAGGCCUGGGCCAGCUCCCCAGUGUGUCAGGUCCCCCAUGCCCCAUGCACACACCCAUACUGCAGGGUCACUGCUCACCUAUCCCCAGGUAUUCAUCAAGCAGGCCCUUGCACUGGAUGAGCUCAUAGUUCUCUGAGUGCUGCAGCUCCUGCCUUGUCUAGAUGUCCCACAUCCUUGCCAGCUGCCCCUGCUGCUUCUGGGCCUUCAGCCUCCUGCAGCAGAGGCAGGGAAACCUGAUAAUAGCUGUAACAAUAUCCUGUGUCAGGAACGACCAUUUCUAUUCCUCCAACACUCCUUAGAGUCAGCACGAUAUUCCCACCUGACAGAGGAGAAUCAGAGACCUAGAGACUUUGCCCAAGGCUCCCCAAAUUUUAAGAGGUAGAGCCGGGGUUGAAAUCAUCAUUUGGGUCUGGAAUGCAGUUCUCCUUAUUAAGUGCUCCAGGACUCAGUGCAUCCUACAUAAUCAGUCAUUCUUGGUCUCUGGAAUCUUCUCUCCCCAAAAUAGCAAUCAGAAGCUCUCUGUUUCAAAGCUCUCUCCUGUUCAGCAUUGCAUAAUCCUCUUUGCUCUUUUUUGAGAGGUAUCAUUAUUCCCAUUGUUCUGGUGAGAAAACUGAGGCUCAGAAGAGACAGGGCUAGCCUUGUGCCUGUCUCCUGACACCCAGGCAAGCUUUCCUUCUGCUUUGUUCUCAUAAAAUCCCUGCCCACAGCCUGGCUAGGCCCAGCCUGUCCUGCCUUCCUGUUCCCCACACUCAAGGCAGGAUGCGCUCCUCCAUGUUACUGCCAUUCGCUGCCACGAUGAUGAAGAGCCUAAGCCAGCUCAGCGAGGCAGCCGCUAGGGCUGCACUGUUGUUGGCAGACACAGGGCACCUUAUUUGGGACUUAGGAGCUGCAGAGGGGUGACUCCGCCUCCCUGCCAGUGUAACUGGCAUGUGCCUGGUCACCUUCUCCUCCCACCCAUCCUGGAGACCUCAGAUGCAGAUCCUACCCCUGCCAGACUUGAGGAUGGGAUGGCCCCCACACUUCUCCAAGAGCCAGCUACACAGGGGUGUAGCUGGUCACCUGUGAGCGAGGGCUGUGCAGAGAGCUAGGGACUGACUUCUCAAGAGAGGGCUCUGCAGCCAGCUGGCUUUGAGGGUCCCAGCUGGGUCAUGCCAGGGUCCACAUGGGACCAGCAGGGGCAGCAUAUGAUCAAGGGGUAAGAAUAUCAAGGCCCCUUCCAUCACCCCACUUUGGCCUAUGCUCACCAGUGUCUCUAGCCAACGGGCAGGAAUAGCGAAGGCUGGGCCUGCUCACUGCCCUCCUGCUCUUGAUCUUGCCCAGUGGCCUGUUAGGACAACUCAUACCUGACUCCCACCUAGCAGGGUCUUGGUCCUGCUCAGCGGUGCUUUCUGACUCCUGGGCUAGCCUGAUGUUGUUUUUUGUUUGUUGUUGUUGUUGUU
This 3025-nucleotide long non-coding RNA is filed under the name Marmota monax (woodchuck). Lineage: Eukaryota; Metazoa; Chordata; Mammalia; Rodentia; Sciuridae. The record is from RNAcentral.